Alligator sinensis (Chinese alligator) is the source of this 363-nucleotide long non-coding RNA. RefSeq lists it as uncharacterized. The transcript has 3 exons. Lineage: Eukaryota; Metazoa; Chordata; Crocodylia; Alligatoridae. The record is from RefSeq and is a predicted model, not a curated record.
CUGGUGCAAGAGUUCCCGUCCUACUAUCUGGGAUAGAAAGACAGACGUAAGGGGUGGACAUUACAAGCCAACAGGGAGGGCAGAGCAAAAACACCACCUUCCUCCUGCAAAACAGAUCAACAAGCCCACCUGAACAGGGCAGGAAGGGUCACAGCUACAACCUGCGGUCCCAGGAGGACUCCUUGCACAGGACCUUGGGAGCACGUUGGGAGUCUACAGCACCUGUACAUGGCUCACCUGUUAUCCGGUGGUUCACAAAUGUAGCACAGGGCAGCAUCAAGUUAUUUUGCUACAGGAGCUUUUCACUCAGGCACAGUUUGAUCUCAAGAGGAUUAAUUACCUGGCCUGGCGCAGAACAAAACA